UACGUAGGGUGCGAGCGUUAAUCGGAAUUACUGGGCGUAAAGCGUGCGCAGGCGGUUCGUUAAGUCAGAUGUGAAAGCCCCGGGCUCAACCUGGGAACUGCAUUUGAAACUGGCGGGCUUGAGUAUGGCAGAGGGGGGUGGAAUUCCGCGUGUAGCAGUGAAAUGCGUAGAGAUGUGGAGGAACACCGAUGGCGAAGGCAGCCCCCUGGGCUGAGAUUGACGCUCAGGCACGAAAGCCAGGGGAGCAAACGGG
This 253-nucleotide ribosomal RNA is filed under the name uncultured bacterium. Its description in RNAcentral is "partial 16S ribosomal RNA". It matches the Rfam family "Bacterial small subunit ribosomal RNA", at positions 524 to 776 of the family's 1533-position model. The record is from RNAcentral.